AACUGAAGAGUUUGAUCAUGGCUCAGAUUGAACGCUGGCGGCAGGCUUAACACAUGCAAGUCGAGCGGGGGAAGGUAGCUUGCUACCGGACCUAGCGGCGGACGGGUGAGUAAUGCUUAGGAAUCUGCCUAUUAGUGGGGGACAACAUCUCGAAAGGGAUGCUAAUACCGCAUACGUCCUACGGGAGAAAGCAGGGGAUCUUCGGACCUUGC
Molecule: ribosomal RNA, 212 nt
Filed under: Acinetobacter baumannii
Lineage: Bacteria; Pseudomonadati; Pseudomonadota; Gammaproteobacteria; Moraxellales; Moraxellaceae
Description: partial 16S ribosomal RNA
Rfam family: Bacterial small subunit ribosomal RNA
Source: RNAcentral